RNAcentral lists this ribosomal RNA (301 nucleotides) under uncultured bacterium. RNAcentral describes it as "partial 16S ribosomal RNA". It matches the Rfam family "Bacterial small subunit ribosomal RNA", at positions 509 to 809 of the family's 1533-position model. The record is from RNAcentral.
CAGUCGCCACGGUAAUACGGAGGGUGCAAGCGUUAUCCGGAUUUAUUGGGUUUAAAGGGUCCGUAGGCGGACUUAUAAGUCAGUGGUGAAAGCCUGUCGCUUAACGAUAGAACUGCCAUUGAUACUGUAAGUCUUGAGUAUAUUUGAGGUAGCUGGAAUAAGUAGUGUAGCGGUGAAAUGCAUAGAUAUUACUUAGAACACCAAUUGCGAAGGCAGGUUACCAAGAUAUAACUGACGCUGAGGGACGAAAGCGUGGGUAGCGAACAGGAUUAGAUACCCCAGUAGUCCCUGUCUCUUAUAU